RNAcentral lists this long non-coding RNA (419 nucleotides) under Setaria italica (foxtail millet). RNAcentral's name for it is "long non-coding RNA (SITA_LNC001532)". Lineage: Eukaryota; Viridiplantae; Streptophyta; Magnoliopsida; Poales; Poaceae. The record is from RNAcentral.
CUACUUGGCAGAAUCAAAUCAGACAGUGUUCCUGAGAAUAAGGAUGCUGGAGGGUCGGAUGACGAUGACGACGAUGAUGAUGAAGAUGAGGAUGAUGAUGGGGGUGAAGAUGAUGAUGAUGCUGAGGAGUACUCUGGGGAUGAUGGGGGUGAAGAUGAUGAUGAUGACGAUGAUGAUCCUGAGGCUAAUGGUGAAGGAGGGAGUGAUGACGACGACGACGAUGAUGAAGAUGGUGAUGACGAUGGUGAGGAUGACGAUGAUGAUGACGAUGAUGAUGAUGAUGAAGAUGAAGACGAAGAUGAGGACCAGCCACCUUCUAAGAAGAAGAAGUGAUCUGGCAAUUUUCACCCUGCAUCCACCCCCUUGCUGUUUCAUGCUGCUAGUUGUGUUGUUUAGAUGGUGAAACAGGUUUGGGACCA